Molecule: non-coding RNA, 226 nt
Organism: Ixodes scapularis (black-legged tick)
Lineage: Eukaryota; Metazoa; Arthropoda; Arachnida; Ixodida; Ixodidae
Source: Rfam
UUCUGGGAUGACUGACAGAUUGAGAGCUCUCUCUUGAUUCGGUGGAUGGUGGUGCAUAUCCGUUCUUAGUUGGUGGAGCGAUUUGUCUGGUUAGUUCCAAUAACGAACGAGACUCUAGUUUAUUAAAUAGGUGCGUGGUUCUCUGCUCCUUGCACCCUUCUUAGAGAGUCAAGCGGCUCCUAGCAGCUCGAAACAAAGCAGUGACAGGUCUGUGGUGCCCUUAGAU